AUUGAACGCUGGCGGCAUGCCUUACACAUGCAAGUCGAACGGCAGCGCGGGGCAACCUGGCGGCGAGUGGCGAACGGGUGAGUAAUAUAUCGGAACAUACCCUAGAGUGGGGGAUAACGUAGCGAAAGUUACGCUAAUACCGCAUACGCACUAAGGUGGAAAGUGGGGGAUCUUCGGACCUCAUGCUCAUGGAGUGGCCGAUAUCUGAUUAGCUAGUUGGUGAGGUAAAGGCUCACCAAGGCGACGAUCAGUAGCUGGUUUGAGAGAACGACCAGCCACACUGGAACUGAGACACGGUCCAGACUCCUACGGAGGCAGCAGUGGGGAAUUCUGGGACAAUGGGGGCAACCCUGAUCCAGCAAUGCCGCGUGAGUGAAGAAGGCCUU
This 386-nucleotide ribosomal RNA is filed under the name uncultured bacterium. RNAcentral describes it as "bacterial SSU rRNA". It matches the Rfam family "Bacterial small subunit ribosomal RNA", at positions 30 to 418 of the family's 1533-position model. The record is from RNAcentral.